UGCUUUAGUGCCUUCGGGAACUCUGAGACAGGUGCUGCAUGGCUGUCGUCAGCUCGUGUUGUGAAAUGUUGGGUUAAGUCCCGCAACGAGCGCAACCCUUAUCCUUUGUUGCCAGCACGUAAUGGUGGGAACUCAAAGGAGACUGCCGGUGAUAAACCGGAGGAAGGUGGGGAUGACGUCAAGUCAUCAUGGCCCUUACGAGUAGGGCUGCACACGUGCUACAAUGGCGCAUACAAAGAGAAGCGACCUCGCGAGAGCAAGCGGACCUCAUAAAGUGCGUCGUAGUCCGGAUUGGAGUCUGCAACUCGACUCCAUGAAGUCGGAAUCGCUAGUAAUCGUAAAUCAGAAUGUUACGGUGAAUACGUUCCCGGGCCUUGUACACACCGCCCGUCACACCAUGGGAGUGGGUUGCAAAAGAAGUAGAUAGCUUAACCUUCGGGAGGGCGUUUACCACUUUGUGAUUCAUGACUGGGGUGAAGUCGUAACAAGGUAGGCGUAGUGCU
RNAcentral lists this ribosomal RNA (503 nucleotides) under uncultured bacterium. RNAcentral's name for it is "bacterial SSU rRNA". It matches the Rfam family "Bacterial small subunit ribosomal RNA", at positions 1007 to 1509 of the family's 1533-position model. The record is from RNAcentral.